ACACGGCCCCGGCCCUCGAGACUACGAAGUAGGGACCGGCUGAAUUUUAAUGGGCGGCUUAGACUAUGUGGCAGCCCCCGUCGGGGCAGAUGAAAC
Molecule: ribosomal RNA, 96 nt
Filed under: parazoanthid sp. 'Antarctic' 3
Lineage: Eukaryota; Metazoa; Cnidaria; Anthozoa; Zoantharia; Parazoanthidae
Description: partial 16S ribosomal RNA
Source: RNAcentral